RNAcentral lists this ribosomal RNA (468 nucleotides) under uncultured bacterium. RNAcentral describes it as "partial 16S ribosomal RNA". It matches the Rfam family "Bacterial small subunit ribosomal RNA", at positions 28 to 507 of the family's 1533-position model. The record is from RNAcentral.
GAUGAACGCUGGCGGCGUGCUUAACACAUGCAAGUCGAACGGAAAGGCCCUGCUUUUGUGGGGUGCUUGAGUGGCGAACGGGUGAGUAACACGUGAGUAACCUGCCCUUGACUUUGGGAUAACUUCAGGAAACUGGGGCUAAUACCGGAUAGGAGCUCCUGCUGCAUGGUGGGGGUUGGAAAGUUUCGGCGGUUGGGGAUGGACUCGCGGCUUAUCAGCUUGUUGGUGGGGUAGUGGCUUACCAAGGCUUUGACGGGUAGCCGGCCUGAGAGGGUGACCGGCCACAUUGGGACUGAGAUACGGCCCAGACUCCUACGGGAGGCAGCAGUGGGGAAUAUUGCACAAUGGGCGGAAGCCUGAUGCAGCAACGCCGCGUGCGGGAUGACGGCCUUCGGGUUGUAAACCGCUUUCGCCUGUGACGAAGCGUGAGUGACGGUAAUGGGUAAAGAAGCACCGGCUAACUACGUG